Lycium barbarum (goji berry) is the source of this 2638-nucleotide long non-coding RNA. RefSeq lists it as uncharacterized. Lineage: Eukaryota; Viridiplantae; Streptophyta; Magnoliopsida; Solanales; Solanaceae. The transcript has 3 exons. The record is from RefSeq and is a predicted model, not a curated record.
UGAUUACAUAAUCAUAAAGAAUUAUGAAUUUAUAAUUUCAUACCAUAUAAUUUUAAAGAAUAAUGAAAACAAGUAUGAUUUAGUAGAAAAUCGUAUGUUAAUGAACCACGGGAAACUAUCAACCAAACAGGGGUUAGGGUUUCAUCGUUCAUGGUCUUCUUCAUUCACCAUUUCAUGUUCCUUCAUCUUCUUCUCUUUCAGUUUUGAAAUACUGCUGGUUGUUUUAGAUAUUUCCAUAGCUGUAUGCCCAACGAAACAUCGUUGACUGGAUAAUUUGUAGGAAGAUUUUCGUUUGGACGGUUCUAAAUUCUUGAAUUUCAGGCUUCUGAUUCUUUCUUUCUGCCGGAUCAAUUAUUGGUGUACAAAUAGAAAAAAUUUAGAAGAAUAGUAACUCUUUUUCCCCAUAGUGAUUACUGAUUACUGCAAUGUAUUUUCCUGCGAUCAUAAGUCGGCAUACUGUGGCCGAGAAUAAGCUAAUUCUUGUUUUUUUUAAUCCUUUGCAGGUUAUUGAUAAAUUUCAACUAUUCUAAUUUUGGAUUUCAGGGGUCCUGUUUCUUGAGUUUUGCAGGAUAUGUUGUUGAUAAAGAUGACAGUGGAGAUGAAUUGCAGAAAAGGAAACAAGAGUGAGAGAGUUUGGAGGAACAUAAACCAAAGUUAUGGUGGUGGUGGCAGUUAUUGUAAUCGCUUACACAAUUCUGGGUAAUAUUCCUUGGUUUUGCUUUUCUAAUUCUCAUUCUAUGGACCAUCUUAUGAUUUUCAUAUGUGGGUAUAUUCCUUGUAAAAACUCAAGGCUACUAAGUAUUGUUCCACCUGAAGCAUUGAUAGUUUUGAUUUGAAAUUGGAAAUUGUCCUGCAUAUUUGCCGUAAAAUUUUGUUACUUGCUAUGUUGAGUCGUUUUUCAUUUCCGCUAUGGAUGUGUUUGAAAGAGUUUCCUUUGUUGACCGAGGUUAAAACAUUCGAAACCUGUGAAAUAAUAAACAGUUCAAUCUGAAUGUUCAUUAUCCGCCUUAAGCCGACAUUAGCACUUCUCUAUCUCUCUUUUCUCCGGAUACAAAAGAAAACGUAAGCAUAUCUCAUGAGUUACAAGUCCUCCAUCUCUUCUCCAUUUGUGGGGUUGUUAUCAACGGCGUUUUUUGGGUUCCAGCAGGUAUAUUUCUUUGUCAAUUAAUUACGCCAUAUUACCAUCUAAUGCAAGAAGACCAAGCUUUUUCAGAAUAGGAUUGCAUUCUUCAAUUUUUCUGUUUGUACAUUGAGCCCUGUUUAUUGGCGACUGUAAAUAAUUGCUGAAUUGAUGGUGUUAUAAGUAGAAUAAAAAGAGAUUACAAGGUUGGUUAUGAGGUGAGACUGUUUUGUUUCUUACGAAUUAGUUGAUUGAUUAGUUUCGGGUUUAAUCUAAUUCGUCUGAUCCAAAGUUUCUUUUUUUAUUUGUUGAACAAUCACGUUAUGAGGUUUAAAUAAGAACUUUUUGGUGUUGGGAUUGAGUAAUUGAUUCUCUCCAAACCGGGUUUCAAUAGAGCACAACCAAUCGCUAGAAUAUCCUUGGUUUCUAUAGUUUUUCUUAGUCAGAUGGAUGCCCAUAUGAAACAAGAAGACAAAACAAUGAAACACUGUUUGCCAGGUAUGUGAUGAACUCCGUCCCAAUUUUCCCAAUUUAUGUAAAGACUUUAAGACAUCUCUACACAUAGAAUUGCAGUAGUGGAGGUAUUUAGCAGUCUACUUUGAUCUUUAUAUUCAAUAUGUAUAGUUCUUCAUUGUGUACUUUAGAGUACUUCUUGCUUUAUUUCUACUCUGUUGAAUUUCUAAGUUAAGAAAGGACAGGAGAGGCUUAGCAAAAAAGGGAAAGAAAUGGAGAUCAAGCAAAGGGGAAAACAGCAAAAGAACAACAUCGUGAAGUUACCUUGAAUCGGCAAAAUGGAUAGAGCAAACCUGAAAAGAGACUAAGAACUCUCUACACAACUAUGCCGCAAUAGGAACAAAUGACACGUGGAACCUCUACCUAUUGAUGCAUUAGCUUUCUUUCCUUUAAUAUCCCUUGCAAAGAGGACUUGAGAUUUACAAAAGUACUCUGUGAUGUAAAGUUGUGAACAAGAGUUGCUUAUCAUAUAGGAGCAUAUUCUUGCUUAGAUUAUCAGGAAACAUGACUUAAACAUGACUUUUCUGAUACUCUUUCACAGUCUCUUGGUUGAUGUUUGAGCUACAAGUCAACAUGACCUCUCUCAUCAGAAUUUUGUAGAUCAUUGAAAUACUUGAAGACUGCAAUAUGUUCAGCAGUAAAACUUCAAAAGCUUUUUACACUUGAAGUUGCCUCCUCUCAGUUGUUCAAUGACAAUAUUAUAUUUCAAAGAUUCAUGAUUAUCUCUUCAAUACAGAUUAACAUAGUAGUUCAAUUGCAAGUUGUUGGUUUAGCUGUUGCUUAAUUUACCACCUCUAUGUCGAGUCUACAGCUACUUCGAGCAUUGCAGGGAGAAAAUCGAAUAUACCACUGGAUAUAUGGGAAGAUGGAAAGCACUUUUGUUAUGGUUUAGUGCUGAGACAACUAUCAUGAUGAAAUAUUGCGUUCUUUCAAUUAUGUAUUAGACAUUUGAGUGUACCAUUGAUUUUGACCUUUUAUAUACAUUGAAUAGGGCUUCUUUUCAAA